GAUGAACACAAAAUGGAUAAAAAUACAAUGUCCUUGCCAAGAAGAUUACAUAGAUUGUGGAUAUUAUGUGAUGAGAUUCAUGAAGGAGAUAAUCUCACACAAGCGACUUCAAAUUCCUGAAGAAUACUUUUCAGAUUGUCAGUUUCCAAGUUAUGACACGGAGCAGAUUGACGAAG
Spinacia oleracea (spinach) is the source of this 176-nucleotide long non-coding RNA. RefSeq lists it as uncharacterized. The transcript has 3 exons. The record is from RefSeq and is a predicted model, not a curated record. NCBI's taxonomy places the organism in Eukaryota, Viridiplantae, Streptophyta, Magnoliopsida, Caryophyllales, Amaranthaceae.